Molecule: ribosomal RNA, 440 nt
Filed under: uncultured bacterium
Lineage: Bacteria
Description: partial 16S ribosomal RNA
Rfam family: Bacterial small subunit ribosomal RNA
Source: RNAcentral
CCUACGGGAGGCAGCAGUGGGGGAUAUUGCACAAUGGGGGAAACCCUGAUGCAGCGACGCCGCGUGAGGGAAGACGGUCCUCUGGAUUGUAAACCACUGUCCCCAGGGACGAAGAUGACGGUACCUGGGGAGGAAGCUCCGGCUAACUACGUGCCAGCAGCCGCGGUAAUACGUAGGGAGCGAGCGUUGUCCGGAAUUACUGGGUGUAAAGGGCGCGUAGGCGGGACUGCAAGUUGGGUGUCAAAUCUACCGGCUCAACCGGUAGCCGCACUCAAAACUGCAGUUCUUGAGUGAAGUAGAGGCAGGCGGAAUUCCUAGUGUAGCGGUGAAAUGCGGAGAUAUUAGGAGGAACACCAGUGGCGAAGGCGGCCUGCUGGGCUUUUACUGACGCUGAGGCUCGAAAGUGUGGGGAGCAAACAGGAGUAGAUACCCCUGUAGUC